AACCCAACGAAAAGUAAGUCUCAGUUCGGAUUGAAGGCUGAAAUUCGCCUUCAUGAAGCCGGAAUUGCUAGUAAUGGCAGGUCAGCAUACUGCCGUGAAUACGUUCCCGGGCCUUGUACACACCGCCCGUCGCACCAUGAGAGUUGGGAAUACCCGAAGCCUGUGAGUCAACCGUAAGGGGGCAGCAGUCGAAGGUAGAAUCAAUGAUUGGGGUGAAGUCGUAACAAGGUAUC
This 233-nucleotide ribosomal RNA is filed under the name uncultured bacterium. RNAcentral describes it as "partial 16S ribosomal RNA". It matches the Rfam family "Bacterial small subunit ribosomal RNA", at positions 1266 to 1500 of the family's 1533-position model. The record is from RNAcentral.